Long non-coding RNA from Bombina bombina (fire-bellied toad), 2359 nucleotides. RefSeq lists it as uncharacterized. NCBI's taxonomy places the organism in Eukaryota, Metazoa, Chordata, Amphibia, Anura, Bombinatoridae. The record is from RefSeq and is a predicted model, not a curated record. The transcript has 2 exons.
CUGCACUCCCUUUGUAUCUGUACAAGAAAAAUCAUUCCAAUGGUGGUUUCAUGAAAGUUUACUGCAAAAUGUUUCUCUUCGAUCUAAUGAUAGACCUAGGAGAGAUGUACUUGCGACUGGCUUGGGAGCAUAUGAUUGGCUCUACUGCACAAAUAAAUUCUGAAAUAUUAAGAUAUAAAUUAGCAAAUCUUGCCUGUCAUGCAGCUACAGGCUUAGAUACUCAAUAUGGAAUUAACAAUAAUAUUGCUAAUCUCCAGCAACAUCAAACUUAUGUUAUGGUGGAUAUUACUAAUAUUAUUAAAGAUAAAUUUAAUGUUUUAGUAAAUGAAUUAUAUAAUUUUACACAUGAGACAGCCUGGGCUAUGUUAUGCUCUCAAGUACAAUCUGAUCUAUCUACUGACUUAAAGAUUCAACUUCAAAGUUUAUGGUCUAGAAAGUGGCCAGCUUCUUUAAGUUUAGCUGCAUCUAAGUCAGUCACUAAUUUUGCCAUGACACAUCUUUUAUGGUGGGAAGUAAUUUUAUCUGACUGCACCACUGACUUUUGUAUGAUUCAUACAUUAAUUCCUUGGUCUGGUAAAGAUACUAUUAUUUAUCGCUUAGCGACAAUUGGUCUUCCUGCUAAUGGUUCAUUACUGUUUCCAGUAUUGUCACAUAACAUUGAUGAAUCAAAAUGGACACUUGUUGAUGUAUCAUUGUGUCAUUCCAAUGUAAAUUCGUUUAUCUGUUCCCUUUCACAAUUCCAUACAACCAAUGAAACAUGUUGGGAAAAUCAAAAGUCUUGUACCUUACAAAGUCAUUUUAAUGUACUUAGACCGGUAUUUUAUUUAGGAUCUGACAGAGUUUGUUUUCAUUUAUUUAAUUCUGAUACUAUUAUAUUCCAAACACAGGAUAAUGUAUUUGCUAGUUCUCAUUUAUUACCUGGUACCUGGUGUAAUACUAUUCCACUUAAAUAUAUUGCAUCAUCUAAUUGGAAUUUUACCAUGCCCCAAACUCUUAAUAUUACUUUAAAUUUAACAUGGGACGAUGUUAUGAAUUUUUCUGUUUAUAAUUUACCUUUGGGUAUGGGAUCACAAAUGAAGAAAUGGUUAACUGAUUCUACUAUAAUUUCUUCCUUGUUACAAAAUCUAAAACAUGUUUCUGUAGAUACUAAAAUUACAGUUGAACACGAACAAGGAAUUUUAAAAUCAGCUACUUCUAGUAUUUUACAGGAUGCAAAUAUAUCUUGGUGGGAAUCUGUAUUUGGAUAUAGAUACUCCUAUCUCUCUCUUUUCUUGGUGUCUGGAUGGAAUUCUUUUGAUUUGCACUUGGGCUCUUCUGAAUUGAUCUGCCUGACUACUACUAGACAUGCUGAGGCCUUGUGACAAGUUUACCUAUGGUUGCUGCAAUCGUUUCCUGCAACUAACUGUGUCAUCUACUUGUUUCACCCUAUGGUUCUUCCUUGGCCUUUUCAGUGGUUAUAUACACUAUUUGUUCCUGUUUGUAAGAUUACACAUGUGGUAUUUCUUGUCGGAACUGCUCCUACAGACUUUAUUGCUUUCAAUUCUGCAACAAAUUGCUCUUACUACUAACGUAGUUAUGAACUGAACUUUCUCUGCAAUGACGCUGCUAUUGAUUUGAUUCCUUCAAUCAAGACUUGAACAACUUUACUUAUGAACUAUGUAAUUGUUGGAACAUUCUUUAUAGUAGUGUAUGACGUCAAAUCCACUGUCUAUUGUUUGAAAUAUGUCUGGUAUAUGUCUGGUAGUUUCUUCUGUGUUGGCCCUUAGUGUUUAAUCAUUGGGAUUGUGUCUGACAAAAAGAAAAGAAAGUGGGGGAAUGUGGAGUUAUAAAAUCAUGAUUAGAAUAAAUUAUAAAAUCAUGAUUAGAAUAAAAUAUACAAAGAAGAAUUACACAUUAAAUAUGUUUUUCAUAGAUAAAACAUUUAGAUAUAAAUUAAGAUAUAGAAUAUGGAAUAAAGAGUUAUAAAUUAAAUUAAUUUAGGAUUAGUCAGUUUAGUUAGUAAUGGGUUAAAUGCUGUUUUAAAGACAAUGUAUUUAGAACUGUGACAUUUAAAUUCAGUUGCUGUUGUCAAUCAAAACACCUAUACUGCUAGCUAGACAUAGUAUUAUUAACACUCUAAUACACUGCGCAUGAACAAGUUAAAUUAGUAUUUUCUAUAUGUCAGCCAAAAUUAUAAAGUCUUUUAAGGAAGUUAAAAUAUACAAAGAUAGCCUUUUCAUUUAUGGUAUGCUUUGAUUUCAUUGGCUUAAAAUGUGUAUAUAAGCUUUGCAUUUGUAUGAGGCUAUUGUUAUCUUCUGCCUUCAGAUCUCGAGGUAUGUAUUAAUCUUGCUGUGAUUAAUAAAUGAUUUAUGUCAACUAA